GAGCCCGAUCUCAUCUGGGUCGGCACCCUGACUCACCAGAUACACCACCUCCUGUAACAAACUCGUACCUACAUGCAUUAGAUGAAGAAAGCAAAGUUGUUUUGGAUGAAUUAUUGAUGUUUUGAUCAUCACAGCUGACAAGGAGCAACCCAUCCAUCUGAUGCAGAUGCUCCUAUGCUUCACAGAACAUGUUGAGUUUAUUGGAUGAAACUACUUCUGUUUAGUUGAGGAGAAGCAAUUAUACUGCCACCUCAGCAGAACUCUUAUUUGUUGACUACAUAAGAGUUUUCAAGAGUACAAAACAAAGAUUCAACUGGCAGUACACCGUGUGACUCUAUUGACCUGUCAUCCAUCACAGUCCGCUUUAGACACACAUUUUAGUGUGUAACACUCAGUAGAGCUCGGCCUUACCUCGGCGCUCCAAGCUCAAUUACACCAACGCUGGUGCGACACAACGUUCUCUGCAAAGCCAAGCGAUUUCAGACCCUCACGCUAUCAUUCAUACUGUCCUGCUGUCUGUUGAACUCUCAGUUCAUCUCUUCAUAACCGCACAGUGGUAUCUGUAUCAUGUUAUAUAAACAGCUGCAUCCAUGUAGACAUCCCUUGACUGUACUAAUGUUGUUUAGGCAUAGGGAGGUUUUUUUAGUAAAACUUUACAAUAAGGUUUUAUUUGUGAACAUUAGUUAACAUUAACAAUGACAAAUAAUUCUAAAGCAUUCAUUAAGCUUAACCAAUGUUCAUUUCAACACAUACAUUACUGAAAUUAAAAGUAUUUGUUUUCAUUAUUUAAAGGCCCUGGGCAGAGAUGAAGUAACAAUGGACCGUUGUAUUUUUAUUAACAAACAUUAAAAGGAACAGACCACCCAAAAAAUUUGCUGCCAUUCAAUAUGUAGAUGAGUUUGUUUCUUCAUCAGAGCAGAUUUGGAGAAAUUUAGCAUUACAUAACUUUCUCACCAAUGGAUCCUCUGC
This is a long non-coding RNA of Carassius carassius (crucian carp), 969 nucleotides long. RefSeq lists it as uncharacterized. The transcript is spliced from 4 exons. The record is from RefSeq and is a predicted model, not a curated record. NCBI's taxonomy places the organism in Eukaryota, Metazoa, Chordata, Actinopteri, Cypriniformes, Cyprinidae.